RNAcentral lists this ribosomal RNA (203 nucleotides) under uncultured bacterium. RNAcentral's name for it is "partial 16S ribosomal RNA". It matches the Rfam family "Bacterial small subunit ribosomal RNA", at positions 326 to 545 of the family's 1533-position model. The record is from RNAcentral.
ACGCUCGACACCUACGGGGCAGCAGUGGGGAAUAUUGCACAAUGGGGGAAACCCCGAUGCAGCGACGCCGCGUGGAGGAAGAAGGUCUUCGGAUUGUAAACUCCUGUUGUUGGGGAAAAAGAGGAUGGUACCCAACAAGGAAGUGACGGCUAACUACGUGCCAGCACGCCGGCGGUAAUCUGGAGGCGGGCGUGGACGAAGGC